GCACGCUCUGUCCGAAGGCCCAAUAUCGUUUUUUUGGGUUCAAAUUUGUGAUCAGAAAACAUGUAUAGAAAUCAGAUCAAGUGCGCAGAGCACUGUUCACGCAUCCAUAGGGCCUCAGGACCAAAAUAACAUCACAGAAAAGCUCGAAUAAUCAGAUCCAUGCUUCAAAACCCUCCAAAUCUCGAUUCCCAUUACAUAUUAUUCAUUUCUUACAAGCAUACAUCACGUGAAGUGGGGAUCGAAUAAAAAAAGGGAGAAAAUCAUGACAGAGAUGGCCAUGCAGCCAAGUGCAUGCAGAAAUGUCCAUGCGGCAAGUAGAAACGAAUAAAAAAGACAGAAAGCAAACAGAGAGUGGGCGGCUGUGUGGCUCUGUGCAGGGCGCAGUCGGCCAGAGCCAGCCGCUGGUGCUUCCUGGCGGCCGAACGAAAGUGAGCGGCAGGAACAAAAAAAAAGGGAGAGGGAGGUGCGGUCGGCAGUGCCACAUCUCCCAGGCGGCUGAGAGAGAAGGAAGCCGCCGGCCAGAGGUUUC
This 529-nucleotide long non-coding RNA is filed under the name Zea mays. Its description in RNAcentral is "drought responsive lncRNA". The record is from RNAcentral. Lineage: Eukaryota; Viridiplantae; Streptophyta; Magnoliopsida; Poales; Poaceae.